AGCAGGCGCGCAAAUUACCCAAUCCCGACACGGGGAGGUAGUGACAAUAAAUAACAAUACGGGGCUCUUUCGGGUCUCGUAAUUGGAAUGAGUACAAUUUAAAUCCCUUAACGAGGAACAAUUGGAGGGCAAGUCUGGUGCCAGCGGCCGCGGUAAUUCCAGCUCCAAUAGCGUAUAUUAAAGUUGUUGCAGUUAAAAAGCUCGUAGUUGAAUUUCGGGAUUGACACAUCGGUCGUGCCUUAAGGGGUAUGAACUGGUGUAGUCAAUUUCUCACCUUCUGGAGAACCGCGAUGCCCUUAAUUGGGUGUCACGGGGAACCAGGACCUUUACUUUGAAAAAAUUAGAGUGUUUAAAGCAGGCAUUUUGCUUGAAUACAUUAGCAUGGAAUAAUAAAAUAGGACGGCAUGAUUCUAUUUUGUUGGUUUCUAGGAUCACCGUAAUGAUUAAUAGGGAUAGUUGGGGGCAUUAGUAUUCAAUUGUCAGAGGUGAAAUUCUUGGAUUUAUUGAAGACUAACUACUGCGAAAGCAUUUGCCAAGGAUGUUUUCAUUAAUCAAGAACGAAAGUUAGGGGAUCGAAGACGAUCAGAUACCGUCGUANUNUUAACCAUAAACUAUGCCGACUAGGAAUCAGACGAUGUUAAUUUUUUAAUGACUCGUUUGGCACCUUACGGGAAACCAAAGUGUUUGGGU
This 690-nucleotide ribosomal RNA is filed under the name uncultured Glomeromycotina. RNAcentral describes it as "SSU rRNA". It matches the Rfam family "Eukaryotic small subunit ribosomal RNA", at positions 427 to 1112 of the family's 1831-position model. Lineage: Eukaryota; Fungi; Glomeromycota. The record is from RNAcentral.